CAAUCGGCUCUUUUCAGGGCCACCAACAUUUUUCAAAACGUAGAA
Nasonia vitripennis (jewel wasp) is the source of this 45-nucleotide non-coding RNA. The record is from Rfam. NCBI's taxonomy places the organism in Eukaryota, Metazoa, Arthropoda, Insecta, Hymenoptera, Pteromalidae.